RNAcentral lists this ribosomal RNA (305 nucleotides) under uncultured bacterium. RNAcentral's name for it is "bacterial SSU rRNA". It matches the Rfam family "Bacterial small subunit ribosomal RNA", at positions 333 to 655 of the family's 1533-position model. The record is from RNAcentral.
GAGAUCCUACGGGGGGCAGCAGUGGGGGAUAUUGCACAAUGGAGGAAACUCUGAUGCAGCGACGCCGCGUGAAGGAAGAAGUAUUUCGGUAUGUAAACUUCUAUCAGCAGGGAAGAAAAUGACGGUACCUGACUAAGAAGCCCCGGCUAACUACGUGCCAGCAGCCGCGGUAAUACGUAGGGGGCAAGCGUUAUCCGGAUUUACUGGGUGUAAAGGGAGCGUAGGCGGCGAUGCAAGUCAGAAGUGAAAGCCCGGGGCUCAACUCCGGGACUGCUUUUGAAACUGUGUUGCUAGAUUGCAGGAGA